GAAAUAACUUUGUUAAAGCUUCUAACUUUAAACUCAAGCGUAAAUACGUUUUUAUUUCU
This 59-nucleotide transfer RNA is filed under the name Phyllotreta hemipoda. RNAcentral's name for it is "tRNA-Ser". Lineage: Eukaryota; Metazoa; Arthropoda; Insecta; Coleoptera; Chrysomelidae. The record is from RNAcentral.